RNAcentral lists this long non-coding RNA (382 nucleotides) under Neogale vison (American mink). RNAcentral's name for it is "Neovison vison (American mink) lncRNA (ENSNVIG00000012454.1)". Lineage: Eukaryota; Metazoa; Chordata; Mammalia; Carnivora; Mustelidae. The record is from RNAcentral.
AUUUCUGUCUCCCUAGCACACCCCCUUCCCUCUAAGCGAUGGCUGAGAGGCGGUGCAUGCAGAUGGGGAGUAAGUUUCCUGAAGGGGAGGGUGGAUGCACGCGCGCGGCCCCGCGCUGCAAAUUUCCACCGGGGAGGGAGAGUGGCUGGAUGCGGAGAGUUUGGAGUUGCUUGCCGCGGAGGGCAGGAAGGGGAGCAGGGCCGGGAAAGGGGGCUGGCGGGCGCUAUAUCUGGGAGUAAGUUUCCAGGAUCAGGAGAGCCUGCACGCUUGCACGCUACUCUGCUCGCCCCCCAUCUCACCCCCCAAGCGGAGUCUGGUCUUGUCGGAUUGCCCAUGCACUUGUUGCAGAAACAGCCAAGGCCCUGGCUCUGGCGGAUGCUGA